CAAGAUGAGCCCAAGGAUGCUGCUAGAGGGACAGGUGAGCUUGAGCCUGGGCCUGAAGCUCUCUCAGUGUCUGGGGGGAAGCAAGCUUCUUCUAUCUCCAUUGCAUUCACCAGCACGGUUUGUACAAAUCUCUGAAGACCUGAAGAUAGAAUCUCAUCCUCUGUACUGCCAGGAUGUAGACAGAGGAUUGUUUUCCAAACCACAAGCUUCAAAUUUACCAAAAUUGGGUAUCACAAGGAACAAACUCAGCUUAAUUCUUCAUGGAAGCAUAAGCCCAGGAAAGGCCACAAGAAAGAAAAAAGGAUGGGUGGAGGAAGGGCAAAGGACAGAAGGAAGGAAGGAAGAAGGAAAAUUGUUGCCUAUUUAGACUCUUAGCUGCUUACCGAAAAAUCGCUUCUCAGCAGAAGACUGUCUGAGCAGCAGUGUGGACUGGAAUAAACUCAUUUGGAAUUGUC
Molecule: long non-coding RNA, 455 nt
Organism: Peromyscus eremicus (cactus mouse)
Lineage: Eukaryota; Metazoa; Chordata; Mammalia; Rodentia; Cricetidae
Exons: 2
Source: RefSeq, a predicted model, not a curated record